RNAcentral lists this ribosomal RNA (484 nucleotides) under uncultured bacterium. RNAcentral's name for it is "partial 16S ribosomal RNA". It matches the Rfam family "Bacterial small subunit ribosomal RNA", at positions 29 to 507 of the family's 1533-position model. The record is from RNAcentral.
AUUGAACGCUGGCGGCAUGCUUUACACGUGCAAGUCGAACGGCAGCGCGGGCUUCGGCCUGGCGGCGAGUGGCGAACGGGUGAGUAAUACAUCGGAACGUGCCCAGCAGUGGGGGAUAGCUCGGCGAAAGCCGGAUUAAUACCGCAUACGACCUGAGGGUGAAAGCGGGGGAUCUUCGGACCUCGCGCUAUUGGAGCGGCCGAUGGCAGAUUAGCUAGUUGGUGGGGUAAAGGCCUACCAAGGCGACGAUCUGUAGCUGGUCUGAGAGGACGACCAGCCACACUGGGACUGAGACACGGCCCAGACUCCUACGGGAGGCAGCAGUGGGGAAUUUUGGACAAUGGGCGAAAGCCUGAUCCAGCAAUGCCGCGUGUGUGAUGAAGGCCUUCGGGUUGUAAAGCACUUUUGGCGGGAACGAAAAGGACUGUGCCAAUACCACGGUUCGAUGACGGUACCCGCAGAAUAAGCACCGGCUAACUACGUG